AUACAGAAAUGCCGCGUGUGUGAAGAAGNNNCGGGUUGUAAAGCACUUUCAGCGAGGAAGAACGCCUAGUGGUUAAUACCCAUUAGGAAAGACAUCACUMGCAGAAGAAGMACCGGCUAWCUCCGUGCCAGCAGCCGCGGUAAUACGGAGGGUGMAAGCGUUAAUCGGWAUUACUGGGCGUAAAGCGCGMGUAGGUGGCUUGAUAAKCCGGUUGUGAAAGCCCCGGGCUCAACCUGGGAACGGCAUCCGGAACUGUCAAGCUAGAGUGCAGGAGAGGAAGGUAGAAUUCCCGGUGUAGCGGUGAAAUGCGUAGAGAUCGGGAGGAAUACCAGUGGCGAAGGCGGCCUUCUGGMCUGACACUGACACUGAGGUGCGAAAGCGUGGGUAGCAAACAGGAUUAGAUACCCUGGUAGUCCACGCCGUAAACGAUGUCGACCAGCCGUUGGGUGCCUAGCGCACUUUGUGGCGAAGUUAACGCGAUAAGUCGACCG
Molecule: ribosomal RNA, 491 nt
Filed under: uncultured Gammaproteobacteria bacterium
Lineage: Bacteria; Pseudomonadati; Pseudomonadota; Gammaproteobacteria
Description: partial 16S ribosomal RNA
Rfam family: Bacterial small subunit ribosomal RNA
Source: RNAcentral